UACGAGAGGUCCAAACGUUAUUCGGAAUCACUGGGCUUACAGAGUUCGUAGGCGGUCCAGAAAGUGGGGUGUGAAAGCCCUCGGCUCAACCGAGGAACUGCGCUCCAAACUACUGGGCUAGAGGAAGAUAGAGGUGAGCAGAACUGAUGGUGGAGCGGUGAAAUGCGUUGAUAUCGUGAGGAACACCAGAGGCGAAGGCGGCUACCUGGACAAUUGCUGACGCUCAGGCACGAAAGCGUGGGGAGCAAAAGGG
Molecule: ribosomal RNA, 253 nt
Filed under: uncultured bacterium
Lineage: Bacteria
Description: partial 16S ribosomal RNA
Rfam family: Bacterial small subunit ribosomal RNA
Source: RNAcentral